Molecule: unclassified non-coding RNA, 240 nt
Filed under: soil metagenome
Description: partial contains 5.8S ribosomal RNA, internal transcribed spacer 2, and large subunit ribosomal RNA
Source: RNAcentral
AACUGAUACUACCUGCGGGAACCUGCGGAGGGAUCAUUACCGAGUUUACAACUCCCAAACCCAAUGUGAACGUUACCAAACUGUUGCCUCGGCGGGAUCUCUGCCCCGGGCGCGUCGCAGCCCCGGACCAAGGCGCCCGCCGGAGGACCAACCAAAACUCUUUUGUAUACCCCCUCGCGGGUUUUUUAUAUCUGAGCCAUCUCGGCGCCUCUCGUAGGCGUUUCGAAAAUGAAUCAAAAC